GCGCGGUAGCUCAGUCAGGCAGAGCGCGGAGGGAGACCUCCGGGGGCGCGGGUUCAAAUCCCGUCCGCGACG
This 72-nucleotide transfer RNA is filed under the name Streptomyces sp. AJS327. RNAcentral describes it as "tRNA-OTHER". It matches the Rfam family "tRNA". From Rfam's summary of the family: Transfer RNA (tRNA) molecules are approximately 80 nucleotides in length. Their secondary structure includes four short double-helical elements and three loops (D, anti-codon, and T loops). Further hydrogen bonds mediate the characteristic L-shaped molecular structure. tRNAs have two regions of fundamental functional importance: the anti-codon, which is responsible for specific mRNA codon recognition, and the 3' end, to which the tRNAs corresponding amino acid is attached (by aminoacyl-tRNA synthetases). tRNAs cope with the degeneracy of the genetic code in two manners: having more than one tRNA (with a specific anti-codon) for a particular amino acid; and 'wobble' base-pairing, i.e. permitting non-standard base-pairing at the 3rd anti-codon position. The record is from RNAcentral. Lineage: Bacteria; Bacillati; Actinomycetota; Actinomycetes; Kitasatosporales; Streptomycetaceae.